RNAcentral lists this ribosomal RNA (402 nucleotides) under uncultured bacterium. RNAcentral's name for it is "bacterial SSU rRNA". It matches the Rfam family "Bacterial small subunit ribosomal RNA", at positions 355 to 753 of the family's 1533-position model. The record is from RNAcentral.
UGAGGAAUAUUGGUCAAUGGGCGGCAGCCUGAACCAGCCAUCCCGCGUGAAGGAAGAAUGCGCUAUGCGUUGUAAAACUUCUUUUCCAGGAGAAUAAAAUGCCAUACGUGUAUGGUACUGAAGGUAUCCUGGGAAUAAGCAUCGGCUAACUCCGUGCCAGCAGCCGCGGUAAUACGGAGGAUGCGAGCGUUAUCCGGAUUUAUUGGGUUUAAAGGGUGCGUAGGCGGGAUUAUAAGUCAGUGGUGAAAACCUGCAGCUUAACUGUAGACUUGCCUUUGAUACUGUAGUUCUUGAGUGUGGUCAAGGCAGGCGGAAUGUGUAAUGUAGCGGUGAAAUGCUUAGAUAUUACACAGAACACCGAUUGCGAAGGCAGCUUGCUGGGCCAAUACUGACGCUGAGGCA